UACAGAGGUCCCAAGCGUUGUUCGGAUUCACUGGGCGUAAAGGGUGCGUAGGCGGUCGGGUAAGUCUGAUGUGAAAUCUCACAGCUUAAAUGUGAAACUGCAUUGGAUACUAUCCGGCUCGAGGAAUGGAGGGGAGACUGGAAUACUUGGUGUAGCAGUGAAAUGCGUAGAUAUCACUUGGAACGCCAAAGGUGAAGACAGUCUGCUGGGGAUUUGCUGACGCUGAGACACGAAAGCCAGGGGAGCGAACGGG
This 253-nucleotide ribosomal RNA is filed under the name uncultured bacterium. Its description in RNAcentral is "partial 16S ribosomal RNA". It matches the Rfam family "Bacterial small subunit ribosomal RNA", at positions 524 to 776 of the family's 1533-position model. The record is from RNAcentral.